RNAcentral lists this ribosomal RNA (455 nucleotides) under uncultured bacterium. Its description in RNAcentral is "bacterial SSU rRNA". It matches the Rfam family "Bacterial small subunit ribosomal RNA", at positions 340 to 786 of the family's 1533-position model. The record is from RNAcentral.
UACGGAAGGCAGCAGUGGGGAAUAUUGCACAAUGGGCGAAAGCCUGAUGCAGCUAUGCCGCGUGUAUGAAGAAGGCCUUAGGGUUGUAAAGUACUUUCAUCGGGGAGGAAAAACAAAACUAAUAAUUUUAUUUCUUGACGUUACCCGAAAAAGAAGCACCGGCUAACUCCGUGCCAGCAGCCGCGGUAAUACGGAGGGUGCUAGCGUUAAUCAGAAUUACUGGGCGUAAAGAGCACGUAGGUGGUUUUUUUAAGUCAGAUGUGAAAUCCCUGGGCUUAACCUAGGAACUGCAUUUUGAAACUGAAAUACUAGAGUAUCGUAGAGGGAGGUAGAAUUCUAGGUGUAGCGAUGAAAUGCGUAGAUAUCUGGAGGAAUACCUGUGGCGAAAGCGGCCUCCUAAACGAAUACUGACACUGAGGUGCGAAAGCGUGGGGAGCAAACAGGGAUUAGAUACC